AGUGGCGCACGGGUGCGUAACGCGUGGGAAUCUGCCCUUGGGUUCGGAAUAACGUCGGGAAACUGACGCUAAUACCGGAUGAUGACGUAAGUCCAAAGAUUUAUCGCCCAGGGAUGAGCCCGCGUAGGAUUAGCUAGUUGGUGGGGUAAAGGCCUACCAAGGCGACGAUCCUUAGCUGGUCUGAGAGGAUGAUCAGCCACACUGGGACUGAGACACGGCCCAGACUCCUACGGGAGGCAGCAGUAGGGAAUAUUGGACAAUGGGCGCAAGCCUGAUCCAGCAAUGCCGCGUGAGUGAUGAAGGCCUUAGGGUUGUAAAGCUCUUUUACCAGGGAUGAUAAUGACAGUACCUGGAGAAUAAGCUCCGGCUAACUCCGUGCCAGCAGCCGCGGUAAUACGGAGGGAGCUAGCGUUGUUCGGAAUUACUGGGCGUAAAGCGCACGUAGGCGGCUUUUUAAGUUAGGGGUGAAAUCCCGGGGCUCAACCCCGGAACUGCCCUUGAAACUGGGAAGCUAGGAUCUUGGAGAGGCGAGUGGAAUUCCGAGUGUAGAGGUGAAAUUCGUAGAUAUUCGGAAGAACACCAGUGGCGAAGGCGGUCAACUGGCCUGGUACUGACGCUGAGGCGCGAAAGCGUGGGGAUCAAACAGGAUUAGAUACCCUGGUAGUCCACGCCGUAAACGAUGGAAGCUAGCCGUU
Molecule: ribosomal RNA, 695 nt
Filed under: uncultured Sphingobium sp.
Lineage: Bacteria; Pseudomonadati; Pseudomonadota; Alphaproteobacteria; Sphingomonadales; Sphingobiaceae
Description: bacterial SSU rRNA
Rfam family: Bacterial small subunit ribosomal RNA
Source: RNAcentral